Drosophila melanogaster (fruit fly) is the source of this 82-nucleotide small nucleolar RNA. Lineage: Eukaryota; Metazoa; Arthropoda; Insecta; Diptera; Drosophilidae. The record is from Ensembl.
GGUGGGAGAGAAGGACCAGAUUCAAGUCCACAAACUUAAUCUUCUGCAAUUCAAAUCCGGAUUUCAGCGAGCACACUCAUUC